Molecule: ribosomal RNA, 497 nt
Filed under: uncultured bacterium
Lineage: Bacteria
Description: partial 16S ribosomal RNA
Rfam family: Bacterial small subunit ribosomal RNA
Source: RNAcentral
GACGAACGCUGGCGGCGUGCCUAAUACAUGCAAGUUGAGCGAUGAAGAUUGGUGCUUGCACCAAUUUGAAGAGCAGCGAACGGGUGAGUAACGCGUGGGGAAUCUGCCUUUGAGCGGGGGACAACAUUUGGAAACGAAUGCUAAUACCGCAUAAUAACUUUAAACAUAAGUUUUAAGUUUGAAAGAUGCAAUUGCAUCACUCAAAGAUGAUCCCGCGUUGUAUUAGCUAGUUGGUGAGGUAAAGGCUCACCAAGGCGAUGAUACAUAGCCGACCUGAGAGGGUGAUCGGCCACAUUGGGACUGAGACACGGCCCAAACUCCUACGGGAGGCAGCAGUAGGGAAUCUUCGGCAAUGGACGAAAGUCUGACCGAGCAACGCCGCGUGAGUGAAGAAGGUUUUCGGAUCGUAAAAUUCUGUUGGUAGAGAAGAACGUUGGUGAGAGUGGAAAGCUCAUCAAGUGACGGUAACUACCCAGAAAGGGACGGCUAACUACGUG